CUACUCGAAAAAAUUUAUCCUGACAUGUAGUCUUUGAUCCCAAUAUUAAAGAAUUACAGUAGAUGGCUAUUUUCUACCUUUGUCGUAAAAUGGAGGUAUAGUCCUUUGUGCAGCAGGCGAAGUUCCAACCUUGCUGAUAGCAAUUAUCUCAAAUUGGUAGGCUGAGUGAGACAGGAUCAGCGUGAGUAAGGGGUGGCUUGUGUUAAAGGUCUCAGUGGUCUCCCCUCCUGACUUCUUCACAGUCACCCUGUAGCCUUCAGAUACUUCACUGGCUGCAAACUGGCAAUGGUAGGAUUAAAAGUCCAGUAGAUAUACACCCAUAAAACACCAUAUUGUUUGCUUUGGUUUGAUUUUGGUAUAGAGGAAUAAAUGUAAAAAGGUGUAAAUGAUGUAGAAAGAAUCGGCACACACAACACUUGCCACAUGUUCAAUGAGCGUGUGGAGGGAGGUUUCUUGAAAUGGAACAUCCAAUAGAAAUAUUAACACAGAGAACCAGAGAUCCAUUCAGAAUUUGUCACUGACAGUAUUAAAUGAUGCAAAAUCAAUUAUAUGUGGUACCUUCUCUCUUUUAAAUAGUUUGUUUUAGGACUGUAUCAACACAUCAGUAAUGAAACAAAUGAGAAAAGCUAGUACAGUUGUGCUCAAAAGUUUGCAUCCCCUUGGAGAAUUGGUAAUAUAUGUACCAUUUGUAAAGAAAACAUGAGUGAGCAAGCAAAACAUUUUAUUUCUUAUGGGAUUCACAUUCAACUGUAUGUCAUAACAGAAUGGCACAAUCAUAAAACAAAACAUGGCUACAAAUAAUUUAUUUUACUGGCCCCUGUUCAAAAUUGUGCUUUUUUUUUGUUCAUACCCUUAGUUCUUAAUACCAUGUAUUGCCCCCUUUAGAAUCAAUGACAGUGUGCAGUCUUUUGUAAUAGUUGUUUAUGAGGUCCCGAAUUCUUGCAGGUGGUAAAGCUGCCCAAUCGUCUUGGCAAAAUGCUUCCAGGUCAUGCAAGGUCUUUGGUCAUCUUGCAGACAGACCAGAGUGGCUCGAAGAUAUUAAGGUCAGGAGACUGUGAUGGCCACUCCAGAACCUUCACCUUUUUCUGCUGAAACCACUGGAGGGUCAACUUGGCCUUGUGCUUAGGGUCAUUGUCAUGCUGGAAAGUCCAAGAGCGUCCCAUGUGCAGCUUUUGUGCAGAAGAAUGCAAAUUGUCUGCCAGUUUUUCUGAUAACAUGCUGCAUUAUCUUUCCAUACAUUUUCACAAGAUUCCCCAUGCCUUUAGAGCUCACAAACCCCCAAAACAUCAGUGAGCCACCACCAUGCUUCACAGUGGGGAUGGUAUUCUGUUCACUAUAGGCCUUGUUGAACCCUCUCCAAACAUUCAUCACUCCAAAUUACAGUGUGCCAGAAGCUGUGUGGCAUUUCAAGGUGUUGUCAGGCAUAUCGUAACCGGGCUUUUUUGGGUCAUUGGUGCAGUAAAGGCUUCUUUCUGGCAACUCGACCAUUCAGCCAAUCUUUGCUCAACUAUCAUUGUAUUGGGCUCCUUGAAACAACCACACUGUCUUUUUCCAGAGCAGCCUGUAUUUCCCCUGAGAUUUCCAGUGGGUUUUUCUUUGUAUCCCGAACAAUUCUUCUGGGAAUUUUGCCUGAAAUCGUUCUUGGUCUACCUGACCUUAGCUUGGUAUCAAGAGAUCCGUGAAUUUUCCACUUCUUAAUAAACGAUUGAACAAUACUGACUGGCAUUCGCAAGGCUUCAGAUAUCUUUUUAUAUUCUUUUCCAUCUAUAUAAAGUUCCAUUACCUUGUUACGCAGGUCUUUUUUUCUGCUCCCCAUGGCUCAGUAUCUAGCCUGCUCAGUGCAUCAACGUAAGAGCUAACAAACUCAUUGACUAUAUAAAGACUAACUGCAAUGCCACAGGUCUGGGAAAUUCACCUGUAAUUGCCAUUUUCACCAGUGUGUGUCACCUUGUGUGUCUGUAUCAAGGCCAAACAUUCAAGGGUAUGUAAACAGUUGAUCAAGGCCAUUUGGCUGAUUUCUGUUAUCAUUAUGAUAUAAAAAGGAACCAAACAACUAUGUGAUAAUGAAUGGCUUCAUAUGAUCACUAUCCUUAAAUAUAUAUAUAUUUUUUUUUUUGCAUGAUCAGUCAUAUUUUCAAAAUCAAUGCCAAAAGUUAACAAUUUCUGCCAAAGUUAACAAUUUCCACAACUAUAUGUUCCUUUUCUAUCAAAACACUUGAUUUUUGAAAUAAAUAAUUCUAAUCCAAAAAUAUAAUUCCAUGUUUUGAGAUGAGGGAAUGGAGUGUGAUGUAUUAAAGUUAUGGUUCAAAAUAUAAAAAAGAAUAAUAAUAAUAACAAAAACGAUACACAGGUUGGGAGCCACCAGGCCACUUAGAAGCAAGUGGAAGAAGCCAUUCUCUUGUGUAGCAUGUUUUAUGGAUGACUUAUUGGGGAACAAGAAACCAGUUUUGGAGCUACAUGUUUAGAUUGCAGGUGGCUAAUGUGGACAUUGAAUAAGAGUGAGCUGUCAAGAUACCAAGAUAUUUGAAGGUGAUGCCAUACUCCAACUUAGUCCCAUCCAGGGCAAGUCCGAUCCCUUAGUCCCACCCUGGGCAAGUCCCAUCUCUUAGUCCCACCCAGGGCAAGUCCGAUCCCUUAGUUCCACCCAGAACAAGUCCCAUCUCUUAGUCCCACCCAGGGCAAGUCCUAUCCCUUAGUCCCACCCAGGGCAAUCCCAUCUCUUAGUCCCACCCAGGGCAAGUCCGAUCCCUUAG
Esox lucius (northern pike) is the source of this 2753-nucleotide long non-coding RNA. NCBI's taxonomy places the organism in Eukaryota, Metazoa, Chordata, Actinopteri, Esociformes, Esocidae. The record is from Ensembl.